GAUGAACGCUGGCGGCGUGCCUAAUACAUGCGAGUCGAGCGAACAGACGAGGAGCUUGCUCCUCUGACGUUAGCGGCGGACGGGUGAGUAACACGUGGAUAACCUACCUAUAAGACUGGGAUAACUUCGGGAAACCGGAGCUAAUACCGGAUAAUAUAUUGAACCGCAUGGUUCAAUAGUGAAAGACGGUUUUGCUGUCACUUAUAGAUGGAUCCGCGCCGCAUUAGCUAGUUGGUAAGGUAACGGCUUACCAAGGCAACGAUGCGUAGCCGACCUGAGAGGGUGAUCGGCCACACUGGAACUGAAACACGGUCCAGACUCCUACGGGAGGCAGCAGUAGGGAAUCUUCCGCAAUGGGCGAAAGCCUGACGGAGCAACGCCGCGUGAGUGAUGAAGGUCUUCGGAUCGUAAAACUCUUUUAUUAGGGAAGAACAAAUGUGUAAGUAACUAUGCACGUCUUGACGGUACCUAAUCAGAAAGCCACGGCUAACUACGUG
RNAcentral lists this ribosomal RNA (497 nucleotides) under uncultured bacterium. RNAcentral's name for it is "partial 16S ribosomal RNA". It matches the Rfam family "Bacterial small subunit ribosomal RNA", at positions 28 to 507 of the family's 1533-position model. The record is from RNAcentral.